RNAcentral lists this ribosomal RNA (623 nucleotides) under Epilithonimonas ginsengisoli. RNAcentral's name for it is "bacterial SSU rRNA". Lineage: Bacteria; Pseudomonadati; Bacteroidota; Flavobacteriia; Flavobacteriales; Weeksellaceae. The record is from RNAcentral.
GCCGAGCGGUAUUUGUCCUUCGGGACGGAGAGAGCGGCGUACGGGUGCGGAACACGKGUGCAACCUGCCUUUAUCUGGGGGAUAGCCUUUCGWWWGGAAGAUUAAUACCCCAUAACAUAUGAUACGGCAUCGUAUUAUAUUGAAAACUCCGGUGGAUAGAGAUGGGCACGCGCAAGAUUAGAUAGUUGGUGAGGUAACGGCUCACCAAGUCAGUGAUCUUUAGGGGGCCUGAGAGGGUGAUCCCCCACACUGGUACUGAGACACGGACCAGACUCCUACGGGAGGCAGCAGUGAGGAAUAUUGGACAAUGGGUGAGAGCCUGAUCCAGCCAUCCCGCGUGAAGGACUAAGGCCCUAUGGGUUGUAAACUUCUUUUAUACUGGGAUAAACCUACUUACGUGUAAGUAGCUGAAGGUACAGUAUGAAUAAGCACCGGCUAACUCCGUGCCAGCAGCCGCGGUAAUACGGAGGGUGCAAGCGUUAUCCGGAUUUAUUGGGUUUAAAGGGUCCGUAGGCGGAUCCGUAAGUCAGUGGUGAAAUCUCAUAGCUUAACUAUGAAACUGCCAUUGAUACUGCGGGUCUUGAGUGAGAUUGAGGUAGCUGGAAUAAGUAGUGUAGCGGUGA